AUACUUACCUGGCAGGGGAGAUACCAUGAUCAUGAAGGUGGUUUUCCAGGGCGAGGCUUAGCCAUUGCACUUCAGAUGUGCUGACCCCUGCAAUUUCCCCAAAUGUGGGAAACUUGACUGCAUAAUUUGUGGUAGUGGGAGACUGCGUUCGGGCUCUCCCCUG
RNAcentral lists this small nuclear RNA (163 nucleotides) under Echinops telfairi (small Madagascar hedgehog). RNAcentral describes it as "U1 spliceosomal RNA (ENSETEG00000021515.1)". It matches the Rfam family "U1 spliceosomal RNA". From Rfam's summary of the family: U1 is a small nuclear RNA (snRNA) component of the spliceosome (involved in pre-mRNA splicing). The record is from RNAcentral. Lineage: Eukaryota; Metazoa; Chordata; Mammalia; Afrosoricida; Tenrecidae.